UGAAGCUUUCGCCAUCAGCCACUCAACGGGAGAGCGGCUUCACUCCCAAGUAGGCAGAGCUGACUUGGGUCCAGCCCAGAUGGCAUGCCAGUCCAUUUCUUCUUGGAAGGGGGCCUCAAGAAUGCCUGUGAGCAGAAUCGAGAUGCUCUCCAAAAAAAGCAUCUGGAUCUGUUUCAAAGGUGUUGGCGGGCUGCGAAGAGGCCGUCUGCGGCUACAGUCAAGCACAGCGUUCCAGCUACCUUGACCAUCGGAGUAUUCGAGCGCCACUUGUAGGCUAGCCGCCAGUUCUUCCCCGGGUGGCAGCAGGCAGGGCGGACUGAGCAGGCACGCAAAGGCGCUGGGAGAGCUUUGAUGUCAACAGAGAAAGACAGUUCUGCAGGCCAGCCUUCCUCCAUCCUGAAGCUUGACUUUUGGCUCAUGGAGCUUCCUGUCCUGUUCCAGCUGUGACAUGUUGAAAGGAGACUUGAAAACUGUGGACUUCGCUGUACUCUGUGCGCCUUCGCCAUGACUCUGGCCCUCUGGAUGUUAGGAGACCGGGUGGGAGGGGAGAGGGAAUGGAAAUGACCUCGGCUUAGCAGAGAAGGGGGCUUCUAAGGGACCAGUUUCUAGCUUUUGCUGUUUGCAAACAGCCAAGUGGCCAACUUGCCUUUACUCCGGGUGUUUAAUCCCACCUUGAUCACAGGGAUGUAGUUGAGCCAUGUGUGGACUGGGCAGGGACAGGACAAAGGGCUUGACUUACCUUUGAUCACCGUGCAUAAAUCUGAAGAUUGAAUACAAGGAGCUAUGUCCUAGCAGAAUUGCUAAGACCGAAGUCAAAAGUUGAUUGCAAAAGGUUGAUUCAUUUUCACUUAAAUAUCAAUGAAGAAAAAGAAAAAAAAAUCAAACCUGGCACAGUGACUGAUUACAUGCCUGCAAUCCCAGCACUGGGAAAGUGGAAGCCGGAAGAUUAAAGAGUUCAGUGUCAUCUUUAGCUAUAGAGUGAGUUUGAGGCCAGCCUGAGCUACAUGAGACUGUCCAAGCAACUGAACAAUUCAGUCACUGUAGCCUCCUAGCCCAGUCUCUUCCAGGAAUGUCACUUAGUGGACACUGCUAUAACCUUUGUCUCCUGCUAAAGGAGUAGAGCCAGCAGCCAUGUUUUAUGUCAUGUGGUCCCAGUCUGAUUUCAUGGCUGAUUAAACCUGAUUCUAGGGCAGCCGGUCCCUACACUGCAUAAGUUUUUAUUGUCUCUGGCUGGGUCUAAAAGCACACUGGGUCCAGUGGUAGUUCUGUUAUUAUCGUGCCUGCUGUGCUCUCUACACACAUAUUUAGGACAUGCUGUACUAGACAAUUUUUUUCAUUUAUGUAUUGUGUGUAGGAAGGGUGGGUGUGUACGGGUAGGUGUGUAUGGGGGUGGUGUGUACGGGUGGUGUGUACGGGUGCUGUACCAUAGCAUGUGUAUGGGGGUCACAGGGCAGUUUCCAGGAGUCUGUCCUCUCUUCUUCCAUGUUGUGGUUCCAUGGAUCAGACUCAGGCUGGCAAGCUUGGCAGCAAGAGCCUUCACCCACUGAGCCAUCUUGUUGGCCCAUAAACUCAUUUUUAAGGUUUAUUGUUUUGUCUUAUAUUUUGGUGUUUUUCUCUUUCCUUUAUCUUUUUUUUCUAAAAAGAGGAAGAAGGCACAGGCAGAUGAAGAAGAUGAGGUGGAUGAGGAGGAAAGGGAACCAUCAGUCAUCGACGCUUACGGAGGUACCAGGAAAACAAAGAGAAAAGUGACAGCUGGUAGCCAAGCAGGAAGGGGCAGGACCUAUUAUAUUUCCAUGAUGCAAUCAGCGAAGCUCUACGCGUUUAAUUGAUUUGUUCUGUAAAACCACCUCUGAGUGGCUCUCACCUAGCUGAGGAUUAGCUUUCGACACUGAUUCUUCUGCAGUUAGCCAAUUAUGGUUUCUGCUGAUGGAUUUCUGAAAGGCGCUUGCAGAAGUUAUCUUUUCUGUUUGGGGAUUCAACACAGAGCCCUGAACAUUCUAGAUAAGUCCCUUUACCAUUGAGCUGUGACCUGUGCUCUCUGAGAGCUUCCAUUAUAUUAUCAUGCAUUCUUUUUCUUAAUAUGCUUAUGCCUGAGGUAGCUGGAAUGAGUGAUAGACACAGCCAAAAUAAAGUCAAGCUAUGUGCUGUCUAAUAGACUACAAAAGUGGAGCCAAAAUAAAGGGGACCGAGGAGCCCGAAGUGGAAGGAACAAAAAACGGUGAAGAUAUGGGGUGUAUAUCUGCACUCCAGUACUCAGGAGGUGGACGAGGGAGAUGAGGAGUUCAAAGUCAUCGUCACUACACGACAAGUUCAAGACCGGCCUGGGCUCUAAAGGAAUCAACUAUAACAACAACAACAACAACAAAAAGUUGAUUUUUGACAAGGCUCAUGAAAUUAUAAAUAAUGUUACUGAAAUCAGCUUAAGUUGAUUAAGGAAGAAAAAGGCAGACAUCCAGGCACGGUGGCUCACACCUUGAAUCCUAGCACUGGGAAGGCAGAGGCCGGGUAAAGACCCUUAACAACCGGGACCCUUAAAAGCUAAUGCCAGAGCAUUUCUCAAACUGUUAAUCAUAGGGAUUGUUGCCCAAUGACCCAGCAGCUCCACCACUACAGAGAUAUGUAUGUGCAAUAACUAGUGUUCCUGCGGCAUUAUUCAUAAUGGGCAAAAAUUGGAAAUAACUCAGACAUGCUGCUGAGUGUGCAUCCAGACAGUGGUAUGUAGACUUGAUUCCAUUUAUAGGAGAUGUCCAGAGAAGUCACAUACAUAGAGAUGCCUAGUGGCUGCCUCUGGGCAGAACCGGUAACAAGGAGAGACUGCUAAUAGGUCCUUAAUUUCUUUGGGAGUCUGAGUGGUGAGAUGAAAACAUUUUUCAAUUAGAUAGUAGUGAUGUACAAUUCUGAAUGUAUUGCCGGGCAGUGGUGGUGCACGCCUUUAAUCCCAGCACUCAGGAGGCAGAGGCAGGUGAAUCUCUGUGAGUUCGAGGCCAGGCUGGACCGACAGCCUCCAAAACAAUACAGAGAAACCCUGUCUCAUAAAAAUAAUUAAAAAAUUCUGAAUGUAUUAAAAAUCCAUAAGGGGUCCCAGAGGUUAAGAGCACUGACUUCUUUUCCCAAGGUCCUGAGUUUAAGUCCCAGCAACCACAUGGUGGCUCACAACCAUCCAUAAUGAGAUCUGGUGCCCUCUUCUGCAUGCAGGCAGAACACUGUAUACAUAAUAAAUAAAUAAAUAAAUCUUUUUUUAAAAAGCCAUUAGGUUGUACACUUGAAAAGGUGUGCAACCUUGGAAUUAUACAGGGACACAUCUCCCCAUCUCUUCACGGGCUUCCAAUAGGCUACUGCCCUCAGCUCUGAAAAAGCUGAUUCUGUUAUUACACACCUCUUAGAGGUGAUGGCUGUUAUGGGUAUACCUAAAACAAUAAAAACUGACAAUGCUCCAGCA
Mesocricetus auratus (golden hamster) is the source of this 3439-nucleotide long non-coding RNA. RefSeq lists it as uncharacterized. NCBI's taxonomy places the organism in Eukaryota, Metazoa, Chordata, Mammalia, Rodentia, Cricetidae. The record is from RefSeq and is a predicted model, not a curated record. The transcript is spliced from 3 exons.